AGGCUAGCUGGCAGGGGAGACACCUUGAUGAUGAAGGAGGUUUUCCAAGGGUGAGGCUCAUCCAUUGCACUGCGGGUGUGCUGACCCCUGCGAUUUCCCCAAAUGCGGGAAACUCAUCUGCAUAAUUUGUGGCUGAAACCAACAAAGUGGGAGUUC
Molecule: small nuclear RNA, 156 nt
Organism: Hemicordylus capensis (graceful crag lizard)
Lineage: Eukaryota; Metazoa; Chordata; Lepidosauria; Squamata; Cordylidae
Product: U1 spliceosomal RNA
Exons: 1
Source: RefSeq, a predicted model, not a curated record